CCCGACUCAAAACCUAACCCCUAACCUCUCCACCGCCUACCUUGCGAAGCUCCCUCUCGAAAGUUCCAGGCGACCGUCGACCUUAACUCCGGCCGGCAAAACAGCAGCAGCAUUCCGCGAGUUGUUUGCCCACGUUCUCGUUAAGAUCUAUACCCUCUAGCUACGACCGAUUUCGAGGCGACUGACCGCGUCCGACUGCCAAAUAACCAGGACGACCACUGUUACAACCCUUCCGUCGGCGGUAGACAAGCACUGAACUACCUCAUUCAUGUUGGGUAAGUACAAAGAAGGCGACAUAAGUACAAAUAAAUUAGCAAAUUUUUUUACGUAUUCCUACUUCUUCCUGUGAAAUUUUUUUACGUAUUCCUGCUUCUUCCUCUGAAAAUUGGAUUUGGUAUACAAUAGACUCGUUUUAUCAUUUUCUGUAAGUGAGAAUAUGUGGUGAUUUCGUGUUAUAUAUUGAGUCUUUGUAUGUGUGAAUGAAGAUGGGUGAAACUGUACAUUUUUAUCAUUUAAUACUUCCAAUUGUUAUUGACCUUUUGGAGUUAGGACCAGGUGCCCCCUUCCAGGAAUUUUUUAUGGGAGUCUUGUGGUUCAGAUUUGUUUGAUUUAGGAGCGUUUGCAAUUAGAGGGGGAGUUUGUAUCAUUAGUGGCCAAUGUGCUCUGUAAUUUUACAUGGUCUUGGAUACAAAUGGAAAAACUUCAUUCUUAAUAAGUUAUCUACUUCUCUAACAUUUUUUUAUCAUAUUGCCCUAAAUCUCUGAGUUUGAAAUCUUUGUUCCUCAGUUCGUUCAUCCGCAUCUCAGUCUUCUUCUGCU
RNAcentral lists this long non-coding RNA (818 nucleotides) under Olea europaea subsp. europaea. Lineage: Eukaryota; Viridiplantae; Streptophyta; Magnoliopsida; Lamiales; Oleaceae. The record is from RNAcentral.